RNAcentral lists this small nuclear RNA (22 nucleotides) under Arabidopsis thaliana (thale cress). Its description in RNAcentral is "snRNA_12317". The record is from RNAcentral. Lineage: Eukaryota; Viridiplantae; Streptophyta; Magnoliopsida; Brassicales; Brassicaceae.
AUUUACAGUGGCUGCCACUGAU